UACGGAGGGUGCAAUCGUUGUUCGGAAUUACUGGGCGUAAAGCGCGCGCAGGCGGUUUGCUAAGUCAGAUGUGAAAGCCCAUGGCUCAACCAUGGACGUGCAUUUGAAACUGGCAAGCUUGAGUAGUGGAGGGGGUGGUGGAAUUCCCGGUGUAGAGGUGAAAUUCGUAGAUAUCGGGAGGAAUACCGGUGGCGAAGGCGACCCCCUGGCCACAUACUGACGCUGAGGCGCGAAAGCGUGGGGAGAAAACAGG
Molecule: ribosomal RNA, 253 nt
Filed under: uncultured bacterium
Lineage: Bacteria
Description: partial 16S ribosomal RNA
Rfam family: Bacterial small subunit ribosomal RNA
Source: RNAcentral